CGCCCCGCCUGGCGCUGCCGGCGCUGGCCCGGGAGACGGGAGCCGAGGACUACUGGUGAAACAUACUUAAGAUGAAUGCCAAGGGCAACCUGGAGAAGGAAGAGAAGCAGCCAAAAAGUGAAUCCUGCAAAAGGAGCAUUCGUGAGGGAGGUGGCAUCAAAAUACAAGAAACCAUGGACAAAAACACCUGAGAGCAGAGAAGGAAAGGUCUUGAGCAAGGAAUCCAAAGGAAAUAAUUUUGUGUUUUUGAUCAAUUGCAAGUCAAGGUCUGCUUAGCACUUUAAUAAAUCCCUCAAGAAGAAGCAUGAUUAAAAUUUUACCACUUGAAGCAUUCCUUCUUCAAGGAUAAUCUCAUGAUUGGAACAUCAUCUGGAGACCACCUGCAUAUUUUCCCUGGAGGAUGAGUCUCACAUGGCAGCAGUACUGUAGCAUUCUAAACUCAUCUAUAUGCCCACUCCCACAAAUGAUAUCCACAUUUCCUUCUCUAGCUCUGUUCUUCCCCCUGAACUCAUCUCUUAUCCUACUGUUUGCCUGACAUGCCCACUCGGAUGUCUGAUAUCAAAAACUUGGCAUGUGCCCCCACCAAAACCUGUUAAUUUGCCUCCUGCACACAUUGCCCUCACUUUUCCUCAUCUGCCACCUGAAGUCUUCCUCACCUCAAAAAAUGGUGACUCCAUUGCAGCAAUUGCUCCAGCCAAAAAUUAUGGAGUCAUCUCCACUCCUCCCUUUCUCUCACACCCCAUGUUCCAUCCAUAAGGAAGUCCUGUGGGGUUCUGAUGACAUCUCACCUCUGUUGCAUAGCCCAGGCCACUACUCCUUGUGUCAGAACUAGUGCAGUAGCCCCCAAAGUCAUCUUUUCCCCCACAGUUUGCUCCCCCUAUAGUAGCUGGUGUGAUCAUUUUAAAUAUAAAUCAGAUCAUCUUACCUUCAAGCCAUCUGACAGUUUAAUGCUUUUGGAAUGAGUAUCAAAUUCUACCAUGAUGUCCAGGGCCUUUCAUGAUAACACCAUGACGUCAUUACCUGAUUGGCGUGACUAAUUUUUCGUAGUACUUAUUACCACCUGAUGUUACAUUAUAUAUUUUUUGGUUUGUUUUCUACUUCUCCUCCACUAGAAUGUAAGCACCAAAAGAGUAAGAACUUUAUAUGUUAUGGACAUGGCAAUAUACCCAGCACUUAGAGUAGCAAGUGAUCAAUAAAUAUUUAUGAAAAUGAGAUAUUUUGGCCUCAUACUACAUAGAAGCUGUGCUUGAAUGCCUCAUGCAGCUACUGAAAAUACCAGGUCUGCC
This is a long non-coding RNA of Manis javanica (Malayan pangolin), 1286 nucleotides long. RefSeq lists it as uncharacterized. Lineage: Eukaryota; Metazoa; Chordata; Mammalia; Pholidota; Manidae. The record is from RefSeq and is a predicted model, not a curated record.